This 5315-nucleotide long non-coding RNA is filed under the name Pelobates cultripes (western spadefoot toad). Lineage: Eukaryota; Metazoa; Chordata; Amphibia; Anura; Pelobatidae. The record is from RNAcentral.
CAGGCCAGCACCUCAAAGGCAUAAAGGACAAGCUCAAUUUGGAGACCCAGAAGUUGAAUGGGGCAGACUCAUCAGUCAGUAGGUGUGCACACGUACUGUUCCACCAUGUUGCUGAAAUGCUGCCUCCUGCUGAGACGUUCCAUAUCAGCUGGUGGUGCUGGUUGUUGUGGCGUGCUGACAAAGAUUUUCCACAUUUCAGCCAUGCUAACCCUGCCUUCUGAGGUGCUGGCGGUGCCCCAGGUGCGUUGGCGACCUCUUCCUCCUCCUCUGCCUUAUGCUUCCACUGAGCCCCCGGUGUCAGUUGGGAAUGCCCUCAGCAGAGCGUCUACCAGCGUGCGCUUGUAGUCGCGCAUCUUCCGAUCACGCUCCAGUGAGGGAAUUAAGGAUGGCACGUUGUCUUUGUAACGGGGAUCCAGCAGGGUGGCCACCCAGUAAUCAGCACAAGUUAGAAUGUUGGCAACUCGGCAGUCAUUGCGCAGGCACUGCAGCAUGUAGUCGCUCAUGUGUGCCAGGCUGCCCCGAGGCAAGGACAAGCUGUCCUCUGUGGGAGGUGUAUUGUCUGUGUCCUCCGUAUCCCCCCAGCCAUGCUCCAGUGAUGCCCAUGAGCUGCGUUGGGUGCCACCCUGCUGUGAACACGGUUCCUCCUCCUCAUCCUCCUCAUCCUCCAGAACUGUGCCCUGGCUGGACAAUUGUGUACCUGGCCUAUGCUGGUGCAGGAACCCACCCUCCGAGCCACUUGUGAAUGACUGACCUGAUAACCGUGGAAAUGACCCCUCUUCCUCCUCCUCUUCCUUCUGUGCCACAUCCUCUUCCAUCAUCACCCGAAGCGUUUUUUCAAGGAGACAUAGAAGCAGGAUAGUAAGGCUGAGAACAGCGUCAUCGGCACUGGCCAUGUUGGUGGAGACCUUGAAACAGUGCAACAUGGCACACAGGUGUCGCAUGGAGGCCCACUCAUUGGUGGUGAAGUGGUGCUGUUUCGCAGAGCGACUUACCCGUGCGUACUGCAGCUGAAACUCCACUAUCGCCUGCUGCUGCUCGCACAGUCUCUCCAGCAUGUGCAAGGUGGAGUUCCACCUUGUGGGCACGUCGCAUAUGAGGCGGUGAGCGGGAAGGCCGAAGUUACGCUGCAGCGCAGACAGGCGAGCAGCAGCAGGGUGAGAACGCAGACGGCCCGCACUUUCUGUAGCAGCUCUGAUAUAUCUGGGUAGUUUUUCAGGACCACCAAAUUUCUGCACCACCAAAUUCAGCACAUGCACCAGGCAAGGGAUGUGCGUCAAACCGGCUAGGCCCAGAGCUGCUACGAGAUUUCACCCAUUAUCGCACACCACCAGGCCGGGCUUGAGGCUCAGUGGCAACAACCAUUCAUCGGUCUGUUGUUCCAUGCCCGUCCAUAGCUCCUGCACGGUGUGGGGUUUUUCCCCCAAACAUAUGAGUUUUAAAUCAGCCUGCUGUCGUUUCCCCCUGGCUGUGCUGAAGUUGGUGGUGAAGGUGUUACACUGACCGGAUGAGGAGGAAGCGGAGUAGGAGGAGGAGGCAACAAGAGGCAAAGAGAAAUGCCCUGCAAUCCUCAAUGGCGGAAGGACAUGCGCAAAACUGCUAUUCGCCUCAGGCCCAGCCGCCACUACAUUUGCCCAGUGUGCAGUUAGGGAGAUAUAGCGUCCCUGCCCGUGCUUACUGGUCCACGUAUCAGUGGUUAUUGCACAGUGCACACCUGAUUUUGUCCGCCAAUUGGUUGUGCAGGGAAGGGAUGGCUCACCUGGAAAAGUAGUGGCGACUGGGAACCACGUACUGUGGGACAGCCACCGCCAUCAGGCGUACUGUCUAGGGGACGCCCAUCCGCUUUUGCACCCUGCUCCCUCUUAUGCUGUGCUGGUGCCUCUGUGCGACCACCGCCUCUUCCUCCACACUAGACAGGUCACUCGCAUGACCUUGAUUCCAUGUGGGGUCUAGGACCUCAUCAUCCUCCACAUCAUCUUCCACCCACUCCUCAGCCCUGCCCUCCUUGCUGGUCUGCACACUGCAGAAAGGCACAGCAGUUGGCAUCUGUGUUUCAUCAUCAUCAGAGACAUGCUGCGGUGGUCCUCGCAUGUCCACAUCCUGAAACAUAAGUAGUUGUGCAUCAGUGCACUCAAUCUCUUCCACUUCUGGGGCAGGGCUAGGUGGAUGGCCCACAGAAACCCCGCCAGCAGAGUCAUCAAAAGGCAUAAGAGACUGCUGCAUGACUUGUGGCUCAGACUGCUUGGCUGAUUUGCAAGGGGGUGAGGUGAAAGACAGAUGGCCAUGGGCUGCAGGUGCCAACUUUGAGCUUUCAGCAGGGGGCCAGAUGAGAGACAAUGUGAAGGUACUGGAGGCACUGUCAGCCAUCCAAUCUACUAUCGCCUGUACUUGUUCUGGCCUCAACAUUCGUAGAGUGGCAUUCGGGCCUACCAAAUAAAACUGAAGGUUCUGUUGCCUAUUCGAGGAAGGUGUUUCACUUGUGCGUGUAGCUGGCACAGAUCGACCACAUCCUCUCCCUGCAACAGGAGCUCCACCAACACCAGCAGCACUACCACCAGGGCCACGUCCCUUAUUUGAAGCUCUCCUCAUUCUUUGUGUUCACCCACCAAACUAACAGAUGGUUUAAAUUUGAAUUUUUCAAAGUGCGAUGUAACCACAGUAUUUGACGGUUCUAUUUGACUCUCAGAUAUGAAGUGCACCGCAGGCCGCAAAUGUACUAUUUAGCGCCCAAAAAAAUAGAAUUUUUUAAAGUGUGAUGUAACCACAGUAUUUGACGGUUCUAUUUUACUCCAGAUAUGAAGUACACCGCAGGCCGCAAAUGUACUAUUUAUCACCCCAAAAAUUAGAAUUUUUCAAAGUGCGAUGUAACCACAGUAUUUGACGGUUCUAUUUGACUCUCAGAUAUGAAGUGCACGCCCCAAAUUUACUUUUUAGCACCCAAAAAAAUUGAAUUUUUCAAAGUGCGAUGUAACCACAGUAUUUGACGGUUCUAUUUGACUCUCAGAUAUGAAGUGUACGCCCCAAAUUUACUUUUUAGCAGCAAAGAAAUGUGAAUUUUUCAAAGUGCGAUAUAACCACAGUAUUUGACGGUUCUAUUUGACUCUCAGAUAUGAAGUACACGCCACAAAUGUACUUUUUAGCACCAAAAAAAAUUCAAAUUUUUCAAAGUGCAAUGUAACCACAGUAUUUGACGGUUCUAUUUGACUCUCAGAUAUGAAGUGCAUGCCCCAAAUUUAAUUUUUAGCAGCAAAGAAAUGUGAAUUUUUCAAAUUGCGAUGUAACCACAGUAUUUGACGGUUCUAUUUGACUCUCAGAUAUGAAGUGCAUGCCCCAAAUGUACUUUUUAGCACCCAAAAAAUUUGCAUUGGUCAAAGUGCGAUGUAACCACAGUAUUUGACGGCUCUGUGAAGUACACGCCAGAAAUUUACUUUUUAGCACCAAAAAAAUGUGAAUUUGUCAAACUGCAAUGUCACAGGAGUAUUCAAAAAAUGCCUAAAUGUUGCCCACUGAGCUACCAGAACAGGAUUAAAGUAAUGUGCCUGGCACACAUGCAGUUGCAAGUGCCCACCUAACAAACAGACUGAUUGCUUAUUUCUCUGUGGCACUGGGCUCAAGGCAGGGUACAAAAAUGUAGUAUAGCACCCACAAAAAUAAUCACUGUAGUUUGCAGAUUCAACACCAGAAUUCUUUCCUAAUCUGUCCCUCACAGCUGCAGCAUCCUCUCCCUACACUAAUAAGAGCUCAUGUGACUCCAGCUUAUAUAGAGGCUGGGUCACUUGCUGCACUGGCCAAUCACAGACAUGCCAUUAGUAUGGUCUGUGAUGGCUUCUAAGGGCACAUGAGUCAAACGCUUGUUGAUUGGCUGCCCUGCAGCUUUUCAAAACACACCAUUAAAUCGACAAACACCGAACUCGAAACCUGAACUGUUACUGAAAUGUCAGGGCUCAGGGUCAAAAAUUGUAAUGUUCGGUACAAACCUGAACUUUACAGUUUGGGUUCGCUCAUCUCUAAUUAUAAAUUACUUAUUGGCUUUCUUUUAUGUUAUAAUUUUUUAUUGUAUUUCACUAUAUACAUGUUUGCUGUUUUUCCCUAAAUUGUCAAAUUACCCCACUAGUUUUUUUUCCUACUUGAAAUAUUUUGGCCUCAUUUUAUCAAGUUAAUUGUCAUCACAUCAGCACAGCUAUUUAGCAAAUAAACCUCAGAGAUGUAUAUAAAAAUAUGUUUGGUCCUCUCAUUAAAUUCCUGCUAAUGAAAGUGAUGUCUCUUUCUGUGUGUUCUGAUGCUUGUCAGGGGCAAGUAACAUAAUACUUGAAGAUUAGAAGAAACACCUAUUAAAUAUUAAAGGUAACUUCAUAUAACCCCACAAAGAACUUUCUAGCACAGUUCAAAAUGGAUAUUGGACAGGUAGGUCUUCUAUAAGAACAAAUGAUAACUUUUAACAAUAUUAUAGAAAAAAUAUUUUUUGAUUAAUUGAUUCAAAUUGUGUAAUUAAUUCUGUAAUAUAUAAUGAAGAUGUUUCAGCUAUAUGAAAAUGAUUGUUUGCAAAAUACAAGUGUAUAUUCAUUGCUUGGAUAUGUAAUAGAUAGAAAAAAGCUGUUGUAUGCUCUGCUUAUAUUAUUAUAAUUAACAAUGUCUUUAUUUUGACCUUUUUAUUAGUCAUUAGCACCUCCAUACAGUUAAAAGUAACCUUUAACUUUUAUAGGACCAUGAUAUUUUGUGCAUCAUCAUACCUUUUGGUCUCUUAGAUCAAAUGCUACUGUGGAAAGUCAGUUUAUUUUUAGGAUUUGCAGAUUUAUAAUGUUCUGUCACAGUGGCAAUGUCACAAUGUCACCAUUAAAUAAAUGGAAUAUAGGAUCGUUAAAUUCAUCAUAUAGAGUUAAGGUUUAUUAAAGGGUUAAGUGAUCUUUGCAAUGAUUGUAUAAUUUUUGUUUAUAUUUUUUGUUUGUCGGUUGCUUUAUGUUGUUUAAUACUCAUACAUUUAUGGCAAGCCUGCAAAUAACACCUGUUAUUUAUUACAUGUCUGUAGGUUGUACUUUCCGUUGUGUGCUCUCCCUCUCUAAUAACUUCUGUAUACACAACAUAUUUUAUUUGUGUCUGUGUUUCUUUUUACGACCAAUUUAAAUAUUAGGAAUGAGAAAUUCCUAGUAUCAUAUGGUUAAUUUUAUGAGAAUCAUAUGUUUCAUAGUAAAAUAAUGCUGAAGAAGGAUCUGUAAUACAGUACUGUUGCAUUAAAAUGUUGUUACAGAUCAGAUAUUACAAUACGACUACAAAAUGUAACUUUUACAAGCCAACAAUAAUUUGAUGAUUUAAUAGAUGAG